CAGUCGCCGCGGUAAUACGUAGGUGGCAAGCGUUGUCCGGAAUUAUUGGGCGUAAAGCGCGCGCAGGCGGAUAGGUCAGUCUGUCUUAAAAGUUCGGGGCUUAACCCCGCGAUGAGAUGGAAACUGCCAAUCUAGAGUAUCGGAGAGGAAAGUGGAAUUCCUAGUGUAGCGGUGAAAUGCGUAGAUAUUAGGAAGAACACCAGUGGCGAAGGCGACUUUCUGGACGAAAACUGACGCUGAGGCGCGAAAGCCAGGGGAGCGAACGGGAUUAGAUACCCCAGUAGUCCCUGUCUCUUAUACC
RNAcentral lists this ribosomal RNA (301 nucleotides) under uncultured bacterium. RNAcentral's name for it is "partial 16S ribosomal RNA". It matches the Rfam family "Bacterial small subunit ribosomal RNA", at positions 509 to 808 of the family's 1533-position model. The record is from RNAcentral.